Molecule: long non-coding RNA, 1154 nt
Organism: Tyto alba (common barn owl)
Lineage: Eukaryota; Metazoa; Chordata; Aves; Strigiformes; Tytonidae
Exons: 2
Source: RefSeq, a predicted model, not a curated record
CAGGUAAGUUUUACUGCUGCUUGUAGAGAUAACUUUACAGUAUUUUGUAAUUUAUACUCUUUUUUCUCUGUCUCAUGCAUUUGUUUGGUAAUUCAAAUAGGUAUCCUCGCAGCUCUUAAAAAAGCCUCAAAUAUUUUGCUGUACUGCAAUAUACUGAAGAUAGGAUGUUGUUAGUUGUUACUGACUGUAAUUAAUCUUCAGGUCAAUUCUACAGAUAUGACUUCAUUUUUUCUAAGAACUAUACACUUUCUUUUAUGUAUUUCAAAAAAUGAGAUUGCACUGAUGAAUUUUUAACAUAUUAAACACUGUUAAAUCUCUGCUGCAUCCUAGGCAUUAAUGCUGGAUGUCUCAUACUUUAACCUCUGUUCUAGCCUGCACUAGUCUUUAACAGCCUUUUAGUUCAAAAGAAAAGGCACUAUGUAUGUAAAGAAUAUAAUUUAUUUUUAUUCUCCUUAAUCGAUACAUUUAUAUUCCAGGUUCACUCUUGCCACAAGUGGAGUUGAUCUUGAUCCGGCUCGUUGUUCCUUUUUCCUAUGCAUAUACUUCUUUGAAAAUUUGAUCUAAAGAGGCAUAGGGCAUGGGAAAAUGGGGCAACUGAGGUACCUCACCAUUCAUUUCAAACAGCACUGCCAAGGAGACUGUAGAAAUAUAUAAAGAAAACAGAUAUAUGAAGAAAUGAAAGGUAUCUUGGAAGUGGAAUUGCAAAAGUUCUUUUCACAUUUUUCAUUCAGUAGAAAAACAAUCAUUAAACACAUUUGUCAUGUUUCUUCCCAGUUACUUUUAUUUACUCUAAAUAACAAUGUACCACAUCCAUUCUGGGGAGAAAAAUAUUACUAUUAUAAAACAAUGUAACUGUACAUACCACAUGUAGAAUAAAAAUCUAAUGUUUAAGUCUCACAUCAAAAGUUUGCAUUACCCUGCAUCACAAAUUCUAACAAGUCUUGUAGAGCUAUGUGCUUAGAAAAUGCAAAACUAGGUGCAUUACAUGUCGUUUCACUUUGUGGCUAUUGUUAUGUUAAAUUAUUCUAGCCUAAAGAAGUAUUUUAGAAGUUACUGUUUCAUUUAUCUGAUUCAUAAUACUGUCAGAAGACUAUUCUAUUUACAUGUCACUUUUCUUCUUAAACUAAAAGGCUAUUAAAAAAAUACAUCCACAA